CCUACGGGUGGCAGCAGUGAGGAAUAUUGGUCAAUGGACGAGAGUCUGAACCAGCCAAGUAGCGUGAAGGAUGACUGCCCUAUGGGUUGUAAACUUCUUUUAUAUGGGAAUAAAAUGUUCCACGUGUGGGAUUUUGUAUGUACCAUAUGAAUAAGGAUCGGCUAACUCCGUGCCAGCAGCCGCGGUAAUACGGAGGAUCCGAGCGUUAUCCGGAUUUAUUGGGUUUAAAGGGAGCGUAGGUGGAUUGUUAAGUCAGUUGUGAAAGUUUGCGGCUCAACCGUAAAAUUGCAGUUGAAACUGGCAGUCUUGAGUACAGUAGAGGUGGGCGGAAUGCGGGGUGUAGCGGUGAAAUGCUUAGAUAUCACGAAGAACUCCGAUUGCGAAGGCAGUUCACUGGACUGCAACUGACACUGAGGCUCGAAAGUGUGGGUAUCAAACAGGAUUAGAUACCGUGUAGUC
Molecule: ribosomal RNA, 459 nt
Filed under: uncultured bacterium
Lineage: Bacteria
Description: partial 16S ribosomal RNA
Rfam family: Bacterial small subunit ribosomal RNA
Source: RNAcentral